GAACUUAGGUUUUCGAUCUUGAAUUGGAGUUGCUUUUCUCAGAGGUUUCUUAAGAUUUUUGAAUUUGAUUGCACUUUCAGAAGCUUUCUAAAUAAAGCUAGGACUUGUUUUAUUUGUUGGUAUUGGAAAUGGAUAUGGGAUCUCGAGAGGAAGGUGAUAUCAGUGACAGGAAGCAGGCUGAGGUUUCUACUUAGUUGAAUGGAUGUGUUAACGGAUCGAUUCACGACCAUACGAACAGGAGUAAUGUGAAGGCAUGCCUGAACAGGGACAUCAAAGCAAACCCAUGAGAAAGAGUUUAGACAAGUCUGCAUCAUUUCCUUCUCUGUGCCUGCUGAAGAUGAUGAAAUUGUAACUGCAUUGCAGCGAAUGUUCUCAGAGGAUUCCGUGCAGUCUUACUCCCGCACAAUUUUGUUGCCCGUGAGUUAGGCUCCCUUGAAGCUAGUUUCUGCCCUUAAAGGUAGCCGUGAGAAACAGGGAUCGACACCAAAGAAGCUAACCGUGAAAUGGGCACCUGACGUCUACGAUCCUCCACCAACGUCUGUAUUGCAUACAGUUGGAAACAGAAAGCAGCAGAAAUCAAAGAAGAAGAAGAAUGACAAGAAGAAAAAUGGAAAGAAAGGGCAGAAAGGCAACAAUGCAGGACGAGGUAGUGGUGGUGGUAAAGACAACAGCGCUGUGGGGGUGGUGGGAGUUCCGAUAGGAGUUAUAAACCUCAGCCGGAGGUUCAUCAGGAUAGAUUAUCCAACUCCUUAAUCAACCUUGAUGGUUUCAACGUUGGCAGUCCCAACCCUUACUGUGGGAGCAGUUUUCUGA
RNA transcript from Hibiscus syriacus, 813 nucleotides. RefSeq lists it as uncharacterized. Lineage: Eukaryota; Viridiplantae; Streptophyta; Magnoliopsida; Malvales; Malvaceae. The transcript is spliced from 3 exons. The record is from RefSeq and is a predicted model, not a curated record.